Molecule: non-coding RNA, 228 nt
Organism: Caenorhabditis elegans
Lineage: Eukaryota; Metazoa; Nematoda; Chromadorea; Rhabditida; Rhabditidae
Source: Ensembl
GGUUAGGAGGGCUAACAAAUUGCUGCAUACAGUUUUUAGCGCAUGCGCCGCAUUCUCUCAUUCACUUAUUGGCACACGGGAAUGAAAUAGAGAGUGUGCAACGACUUGGUGGGUGAGAACAUUUGAAGGAUGAACUUUUUUUUUGAAUAGAGUUAGGUAAGAGUAACUUGCUACAAAAAGAAAUAUGUCAAGUUCACGGGAAUCGGAGUGCGAGACAAUGAUUGCCUU